UACGGAGGAUGCAAGCGUUAUCCGGAAUUAUUGGGCGUAAAGCGUCCGCAGGUGGUUCAUCAAGUCUGCUGUCAAAGCGCGAGGCUUAACUUCGUAAAGGCAGUGGAAACUGGUAAUCUUGAGUGCAGGAGAGGAGAGUGGAAUUCCUGGUGUAGCGGUGAAAUGCGCAGAUAUCAGGAGGAACACCGGUGGCGAAGGCGGCAUCCUGGACCGACACUGACACUGAGGAGCGAAAGCCAGGGGAGCAAACGGG
Molecule: ribosomal RNA, 253 nt
Filed under: uncultured bacterium
Lineage: Bacteria
Description: partial 16S ribosomal RNA
Rfam family: Bacterial small subunit ribosomal RNA
Source: RNAcentral